Non-coding RNA from Daphnia magna, 72 nucleotides. The record is from the annotation of a RefSeq genome assembly. NCBI's taxonomy places the organism in Eukaryota, Metazoa, Arthropoda, Branchiopoda, Diplostraca, Daphniidae.
GUCUUCUUAGCUCAGUGGUAGAGCGCUGGUCUCGUAAACCAGAUGUCGGGAGUUCAAUCCUCUCAGAAGGCA